This 185-nucleotide microRNA precursor is filed under the name Oryza brachyantha (malo sina). Its description in RNAcentral is "MIR812 microRNA precursor family". It matches the Rfam family "MIR812 microRNA precursor family". The record is from Rfam by way of RNAcentral. Lineage: Eukaryota; Viridiplantae; Streptophyta; Magnoliopsida; Poales; Poaceae.
AAUAAGAUUAUUUUUCAGUUUUUUGAUACAAUGUUUUGACUCUUCGUCUUAUUUGAAAUUUUUUUACGAUUAAUAUUUUUAUUCGUGCUAGAUGAUAAAAUAUGAAUACUUUAUACGUAACUAAUUUUUUUUAUGUUUUUUACAAUUUUUUCAAAAUAAGACGAAUGGUUUGGACACGGAAAAAC